RNAcentral lists this ribosomal RNA (308 nucleotides) under uncultured bacterium. Its description in RNAcentral is "bacterial SSU rRNA". It matches the Rfam family "Bacterial small subunit ribosomal RNA", at positions 30 to 334 of the family's 1533-position model. The record is from RNAcentral.
AUUGAACGCUGGCGGCAUGCCUAACACAUGCAAGUCGAACGGAAACGAUGGGAGCUUGCUCCCAGGCGUCGAGUGGCGGACGGGUGAGUAAUACUUAGGAAUCUGCCCAGUAGUGGGGGACAACAUUCGGAAACGGAUGCUAAUACCGCAUACGCACUACGGUGGAAAGUGGAGGAUCUUCGGACUUCACGCUAUUGGAUGAGCCUAAGUCGGAUUAGCUUGUUGGUGGGGUAAAAGCCUACCAAGGCGACGAUCCGUAGCUGGUCUGAGAGGACGAUCAGCCACACUGGGACUGAGACACGGCCCAG